UACGGAGGGUGCGAGCGUUGUCCGGAAUCACUGGGCGUAAAGGGCGCGUAGGCGGCAUGCCAAGCGUGUGGUGAAAGCCCGGGGCUCAACCCCGGGUCGGCCGUGCGGACUGGCAUGCUCGAGCACUGUAGGGGCGGGUGGAAUUCCGGGUGUAGCGGUGGAAUGCGUAGAGAUCGGGAAGAACAUCGGUGGCGAAAGCGCUCUACUGGACCGCAACUGACACUCAGGGACGAAAGCUAGGGGAGCGAAUGGG
RNAcentral lists this ribosomal RNA (253 nucleotides) under uncultured bacterium. RNAcentral describes it as "partial 16S ribosomal RNA". It matches the Rfam family "Bacterial small subunit ribosomal RNA", at positions 524 to 776 of the family's 1533-position model. The record is from RNAcentral.